This is a small nucleolar RNA of Drosophila busckii, 143 nucleotides long. It matches the Rfam family "Small nucleolar RNA psi18S-841/snoR66". From Rfam's summary of the family: psi18S-841 is a member of the H/ACA class of snoRNA. This family is responsible for guiding the modification of uridine 841 in Drosophila 18S rRNA to pseudouridine. The record is from Rfam. NCBI's taxonomy places the organism in Eukaryota, Metazoa, Arthropoda, Insecta, Diptera, Drosophilidae.
UGCAAGCGCACUCUGUGUCACGUUGAUAUCACAUGUGAUGACAAUUUGUAAACUUGCUAAAUUAAACGUAAGCUGCGACUUAUCCAUGUGCUCAAGUCUUAAACUCCAAUUGAGGACAUUGAAUGCGCGCCUUACAAAGCCAA